AACGAACGCUGGCGGCAUGCCUAACACAUGCAAGUCGAACGAGACCUUCGGGUCUAGUGGCGCACGGGUGCGUAACGCGUGGGAACCUGCCCUUAGGUUCGGAAUACCUCCCCGAAAGGGUGGCUAAUACCGGAUAAUGUCUUCGGACCAAAGAUUUAUCGCCUUUGGAUGGGCCUGGGUUGGAUUAGCUAGUUGGUAGGGUAAAAGCCUACCAAGGCGACGAUCCAUAGCUGGUCUGAGAGGAUGAUCAGCCACACUGGGACUGAGACACGGCCCCGACUCCUACAUACACACUCAAUCGACAAUAUUUUACCAUCAUCGAAAGCCUGAUCCAGCAAUGCCGCGUGAGUGAUGAAGGCCUUAGGGUUGUAAAGCUCUUUUACCCAUGAUUAUAAUAACAUUCCCCUAAUAAUAAUCGCCGGCUAACUCCAUG
Molecule: ribosomal RNA, 433 nt
Filed under: uncultured bacterium
Lineage: Bacteria
Description: partial 16S ribosomal RNA
Rfam family: Bacterial small subunit ribosomal RNA
Source: RNAcentral